CACCUGUUCCUCUUCACCAUGUGA
RNAcentral lists this non-coding RNA (24 nucleotides) under Arabidopsis thaliana (thale cress). Lineage: Eukaryota; Viridiplantae; Streptophyta; Magnoliopsida; Brassicales; Brassicaceae. The record is from RNAcentral.